RNAcentral lists this RNase P RNA (248 nucleotides) under Verrucomicrobiales bacterium. Its description in RNAcentral is "partial RNase P RNA component class A". It matches the Rfam family "Bacterial RNase P class A", at positions 1 to 228 of the family's 367-position model. From Rfam's summary of the family: Ribonuclease P (RNase P) is a ubiquitous endoribonuclease, found in archaea, bacteria and eukarya as well as chloroplasts and mitochondria. Its best characterised activity is the generation of mature 5'-ends of tRNAs by cleaving the 5'-leader elements of precursor-tRNAs. Lineage: Bacteria; Pseudomonadati; Verrucomicrobiota; Verrucomicrobiia; Verrucomicrobiales. The record is from RNAcentral.
CGGGUCGGCCGGAGGGGUCGCCCGUCGGUGGUGCUCCGGCAUUAUGCGGACGGGAGGAAAGUCCGGACACCGCAAGGCAGCAUGCCACGCGCAAGCGUGGGGGCGGCGGAGAGAUCCGGCGUCACGGAAAGUGUCACAGAAAACAAACCGCCGUCCGGCAACGGGCGGCAAGGGUGAAACGGCGGGGUAAGAGCCCACCGCUCCAACCGCGAGGAAGGAGGCACGACAAACCCCAUGCGGUGCAAGAC